GGGCCAGUAGCCCAAUGGCAGAGGCAAGGGACUUAAAAUCCCUCAAGUGCGGGUUCGACUCCCGCCUGGCCUA
This 73-nucleotide transfer RNA is filed under the name Phycisphaerae bacterium RAS1. It matches the Rfam family "tRNA". Rfam says of the family: Transfer RNA (tRNA) molecules are approximately 80 nucleotides in length. Their secondary structure includes four short double-helical elements and three loops (D, anti-codon, and T loops). Further hydrogen bonds mediate the characteristic L-shaped molecular structure. tRNAs have two regions of fundamental functional importance: the anti-codon, which is responsible for specific mRNA codon recognition, and the 3' end, to which the tRNAs corresponding amino acid is attached (by aminoacyl-tRNA synthetases). tRNAs cope with the degeneracy of the genetic code in two manners: having more than one tRNA (with a specific anti-codon) for a particular amino acid; and 'wobble' base-pairing, i.e. permitting non-standard base-pairing at the 3rd anti-codon position. The record is from Rfam by way of RNAcentral. Lineage: Bacteria; Pseudomonadati; Planctomycetota; Phycisphaerae.